Mus musculus (house mouse) is the source of this 427-nucleotide long non-coding RNA. RefSeq annotates it as RIKEN cDNA 2610017A05 gene. Lineage: Eukaryota; Metazoa; Chordata; Mammalia; Rodentia; Muridae. The transcript has 2 exons. The record is from RefSeq and is marked validated.
GCACUGACCAGCACCCGCCAGAGACGCCAUGAUGCUCGUCUCAGGAGCCGGCAUUCAUUGCACAGCGGUGCUGCUACAGGAAGUCGCUCAAGUUUGUUCCAAACACCAGACUCCCGCAGACGGCCGCCAUGAUGCGGUACGGAAAUCCUAGCUUGUCCACCCACUGGUGUGACCAAAGAUUGAACAACAGCUUCUGGUUCCUGCCUAGUGUCUGCCUGCCUAGAGAACUGGUCUGCAGCUGCUGAGUCUUAUUUGGUGAUUGCUACAGGACUGAACUACUGAGAAAGAUCAAGCUCACCCACAAAGAAAUACUGCUGAACAGGCUCACUCUCCCCGUACCCUAAUAACUUUUCUCUUCCACUACUUCUGCUGGAUGGUGGGCUAAAGGAGAGGGUGAACUCUUAUUAAAGUAGGUUGCAAAAAAUUA